Molecule: transfer RNA, 102 nt
Filed under: Rosellinia necatrix
Lineage: Eukaryota; Fungi; Ascomycota; Sordariomycetes; Xylariales; Xylariaceae
Rfam family: tRNA
About the family: Transfer RNA (tRNA) molecules are approximately 80 nucleotides in length. Their secondary structure includes four short double-helical elements and three loops (D, anti-codon, and T loops).
Source: Rfam by way of RNAcentral
UCUCGAUUGGUCUAGUGGUAAGGAUACCUGCUUGUCAUUGGAAGACCAUUUAUUGGUCUAAACAAGCCGCAGGUGGCCGGGGUUCGAUUCCCCGAUCGAGAG